GCCGCGGUAGCUCAAUUGGUAUAGCAUCGCACGUGAAAUGCGAAGGUUGUGGGUUCGGUUACCACCUGCGGCA
RNAcentral lists this transfer RNA (73 nucleotides) under Dermacentor andersoni. RNAcentral describes it as "transfer RNA serine (anticodon UGA)". It matches the Rfam family "tRNA". From Rfam's summary of the family: Transfer RNA (tRNA) molecules are approximately 80 nucleotides in length. Lineage: Eukaryota; Metazoa; Arthropoda; Arachnida; Ixodida; Ixodidae. The record is from RNAcentral.